This 707-nucleotide long non-coding RNA is filed under the name Chinchilla lanigera (long-tailed chinchilla). RNAcentral's name for it is "lncRNA (ENSCLAG00000027313.1)". Lineage: Eukaryota; Metazoa; Chordata; Mammalia; Rodentia; Chinchillidae. The record is from RNAcentral.
ACUAAAUCCCCAGCUCUUUGUAUUAUUUUACUUUGAGACAUGGUCUCGCUAAGUAGCCCAGGCUGAGCUCCAGCUUGCCUCUGUAUUCUUGUCAGGCUCAGGAGGAACUGGUUUACAGGUUCACACCGCUCACGGCCUCGUAGACAUUUUUGGUGUUUUUGAGACAUGCUGUUACCCUCGUGUGGGGCCCCUGGAGGAUGUCGUAUAUCGCAGAAAACCCACUAGCCUGCCGGCCCUUGGAGAAGAACCUGAAAACGCAGGUGCAGCGAUCUUAGUGACCAAGGUUACCCACGCAGCAGUUCAUCAUACUAAUAAAUGUCUGGAAGUUAAAGGCCACCACUUUGACCAGCUCUUGUGGAGGCCAUAGGUAACUUGUGUUAAUCUCCUAUCUCAAUAAAUUUAGUACUUGUAUAAAAUAUUUAAACAAGUUUUUUUUCCUGAUGUGUGUAUACGUUUUUUUGGUGGACUCUGAUUUUUCCAAAGUAGUUUAAAAUGUUUUUAAAUUGGUAGUAUCUCUUUACAGUCGCUUUCUUUUUUUUUUUUUUUUUUUUUUUUUUGGUACCAGGAAUUGAACUCAGGACCUUGUGCUUGCCAGGCAGGCGCUGUGCCACUGGGUUAUAUCCCCAGCCCGCCUUUUUUGUUUUUGGUCUUUUGAGACAGGGUCUCGCUAUGAAGUUCAGGCUGGCCUUGAGCUUAUUUUGUAGCCC